GGACCUAGUGGAGCUUCUAGAUUAUUCCAACAAAUGGAUAGUUGUCGUCAAGGCUCCAGUGUACUGCAACUACACCUUGCUGCAGGGAAGUGGAAGGACCCUUUUCAUAACCCCCUACGAAGCCUGUGAUGUCCGGAUAGUGAAUGAGCACUACAUCCUGACCCUCCGCUACACAACUUCUGGACAACAAGCUUAUGUUCA
Long non-coding RNA from Polyodon spathula (Mississippi paddlefish), 201 nucleotides. RefSeq lists it as uncharacterized. The record is from RefSeq and is a predicted model, not a curated record. NCBI's taxonomy places the organism in Eukaryota, Metazoa, Chordata, Actinopteri, Acipenseriformes, Polyodontidae. The transcript is spliced from 3 exons.